GGCUUCUGAUAAUGGGAAGGACUGUUUGUUUAGACUGUGCAGCUCUUCACUUUAAUUUGCUCUGGCUCCAGUGUGACAUGUUAAAACUACUAUCAAUGGAAAAUCCAAAUUUCCCGGAGAGACUUAAAAGAGCAACCUCAGUGAACUGAAAUUAUCUCCUCUUAAAGCUAAUUACCUAAGUAUAUUUAGGAAAGUAGUGCUAUAGGAAAUCUGCUUCUUUAGACUCUUUUCUGUUUCAUUAAGUGCCUCAGGUCAAUAUGAAUAAUUAUUGUUUGCUUUUAUUGCACCUUUUUCAUUAUUCAUUUACAUGCCCAUGAAAGGACAUAAAACUAAAGUAAUCCAACAAAUUAGGAGUAAUUUUUUGAGACAGUCAUUCAUAAUUAAAAAACAAACACAAAAUAUUUUCACCUUUCAGUUUAUUUUAUUAAAAAGAAAAUACCGUGAGGUUUCCAUUUAAUAGGAAGCUUUAAAGCAUUAAUGAGUCUCUCAGGGCAGUUAUGGCAAGUAAAUAUGGAAAGCUUCCAAGAUUAAACACAUUCUACCAUAUUCUGUUACCUAGGGGCUAGAUUUAAGAAAAAUACGCAUAUGCUUGUUCAUGGAAGAAACACGUGUUUCUGUAUCCUGUGCCAUCUUCUUUCAAUACUGUUCACCUAAUACCAUUAACAGGUAGGAUAGGGUAGCAGUUUUUCCUGUUUCCCAGGGGGCUUAGGGUAAAUUCCAUAUUUUGGCUGCCUGAAAUGUACUUUGUGCAAUUAUUUUAAAGUCCCACAUCCCAGGGAUUUUAUGACCUCCUAGAAGUAGCAUUUCAUAAUGGCUGACCAGGGGGACAAAUCAAGAAGUUGUAUUAUUCUGAAGCCAGCAGUCUUGACUACAGUCCAUUAUCUGGGCAGUAUGCUACCAAAUACCUGGCAUAAAGAUUUGCAGCUCAGGCGUACCUGUGCUGAAGACCUUAAUAACUUUG
RNAcentral lists this long non-coding RNA (961 nucleotides) under Coturnix japonica (Japanese quail). RNAcentral describes it as "lncRNA (ENSCJPG00005009929.1)". The record is from RNAcentral. Lineage: Eukaryota; Metazoa; Chordata; Aves; Galliformes; Phasianidae.